CAUACACACACUUAAUCAGUAUGUCUACGUGUAAUUUGAGAGAAAUAUAUAAAUAUAUAUAUAUAUAUAUAUAUAUAUAUAUAUCUCAAAUUACACGUAGACUGAUACUGAUUAAGUGUGUGUAUA
Non-coding RNA from Pelobates cultripes (western spadefoot toad), 126 nucleotides. The record is from the annotation of a GenBank genome assembly. NCBI's taxonomy places the organism in Eukaryota, Metazoa, Chordata, Amphibia, Anura, Pelobatidae.